Molecule: ribosomal RNA, 393 nt
Filed under: uncultured bacterium
Lineage: Bacteria
Description: bacterial SSU rRNA
Rfam family: Bacterial small subunit ribosomal RNA
Source: RNAcentral
GUGUCAGCAGCCGCGGUAAUACGAACUGUGCGAACGUUAUUCGGAAUCACUGGGCUUAAAGGGUGCGUAGGCGGUUAUCUAAGUCAGGUGUGAAAUCUCUCGGCUCAACCGGGAAACUGCGCUUGAAACUGGGUGACUGGAGGGAUGCAGGGGUGUGUGGAACUUCCGGUGGAGCGGUGAAAUGUGUAGAUAUCGGAAGGAACGCCAGCAGCGAAAGCGGCACACUGGGCAUCUACUGACGCUGAGGCACGAAAGCUAGGGGAGUGAACGGGAUUAGAUACCCCGGUAAUCCUAGCCGUAAACACUGAGCACUGGAGGAGGGAGGUUUCGGCCUUCUUUCUCGUAGCGAAAGCGUUAAGUGCUCCGCCUGGGGAGUAUGGUCGCAAGGCUGAA